GAGAAGCAUUUCGUCAAAAAAUGUCACCAAAACAUUAUAGUAUGUCCUCAAAAAUGGUCCCAAAUGGCACCAAAAGGUCAUAGUAUAACAGAACUGGCACCAAAAUAUAGGACCUUUUAAACGAUACUAAAGAGACAUCCCUCUGUUUGAAGGGGCCAGAAGAUAAAAAGAUAAAUCUCACCGAUAUGUUGUGACAGUUGUCUGCUCUCUUCCCUCAUCUCGACAGGACGACUAUGUUCUGGAGGUUAAAUACUACCGCGCCCCCCGCUGGCCGAAUCCAGACAGUCCCAUCAGCAACACCUUCGAGCUCCUUAACCUGCUGAAAGAGGAGAGUGCAGUCAAGGACGGCCCCAGUGUGGUCCACGAUGAUGUGGGUGGAGUCACGGCAGGAACGUUCUGUGCCCUAUCAUCUCUGACUCGUCAGCUGGAGGCCGAAGGUUUGGUUGACGUCUUCCAAGUAGCCAAGCUGACAAACCUCAUGAGACCAGGAAUCUUCAGCGACAUCGAGCAGUAUCAGUUCCUUUACAAAGCCAUGCUGAGUCUCAUCGGGACGCAAGAAGACGAAAAAACCCUCCAGUCAUCGGACAACAACGGUACCAUCGUGGUGGGAACCGCCAGCACCGCAGAGAGCCUUGAAUCCCUGGUGUAACUGCCCAAAACAAAAACACAAAGAACUCUUGUUUAACUUUUACAAAUGUGCAUUUUGUCCUUCCACUUCAACCACCAACAGAACUUCUCCGACUUUCGCUGGAUCUGGACUCCCUGCGGUUUUGUACUGUGUGCCUUUUUGUAUUUUUCCAUCCUGUACUUCUAACUUUGAUACAUGCUGUAGACUAACUGUCUGAUGUUAUAACGCUGUACCGCUCUGAGACGUUUCAACUCCACUAACAAACUUUUGUAUUUAUUGGCACUGAGCCAAACGGGAAAAAAAGGGAAAACUGCAUCUUUUUACAUUAAAUGAGAUAUUUUGAUAGCUUGUCUUUUAUAGAACUCCUGCACUGAACUCCUUUCUGUAAAUACCAUCGCGACGGUAGCAGCAGUGUGCUAUUGAAGUCAAAUAUAAAAUAAGGGCCUGGAAUAAUAAUAAAAAAAAUAAUAAUAAUCUAAUGUAAAUAAUAUUAUAGUAAUCAACUCGAUGGACCAAAUUUCUAUUUAUACUUUUAGAUUUUUAUAUUUUACCAUUUUUAGUGUAUUCAAAUGUUAUGGUUUAAUUCUACUGGUUUAGUUGGAGAAUAUUAAUGCUUUUAUAUUCUGGAUUUUGUAACAGACUAAAUGUGAUGCAUGGGGUACUGACAUGUUUGUUUUUUUUAGCUGGACAUGAAACACUGCUGGAUUAUUAGUUAGGGGAUUAAAUAAGUGAAAGAACACCAAAGAAA
This is a non-coding RNA of Plectropomus leopardus (leopard coralgrouper), 1376 nucleotides long. The record is from RefSeq and is a predicted model, not a curated record. NCBI's taxonomy places the organism in Eukaryota, Metazoa, Chordata, Actinopteri, Perciformes, Serranidae.